UACGGAGGGUGCAAGCGUUAUCCGGAUUUACUGGGUUUAAAGGGUGCGCAGGCGGAUAUGUAAGUCAGUGGUGAAAUCUCUAGGCUUAACCUGGAAAUUGCCGUUGAUACUAUAUAUCUUGAAUAUUGUGGAGGUCAGCGGAAUAUGUCAUGUAGCGGUGAAAUGCUUAGAUAUGACAUAGAACACCAAUUGCGAAGGCAGCUGGCUACACAUAUAUUGACACUGAGGCACGAAAGCGUGGGGAUCAAACAGG
Molecule: ribosomal RNA, 253 nt
Filed under: uncultured bacterium
Lineage: Bacteria
Description: partial 16S ribosomal RNA
Rfam family: Bacterial small subunit ribosomal RNA
Source: RNAcentral